RNAcentral lists this non-coding RNA (871 nucleotides) under Chiasmocleis leucosticta (Santa Catarina humming frog). RNAcentral's name for it is "partial 12S ribosomal RNA". It matches the Rfam family "Bacterial small subunit ribosomal RNA", at positions 312 to 1525 of the family's 1533-position model. Lineage: Eukaryota; Metazoa; Chordata; Amphibia; Anura; Microhylidae. The record is from RNAcentral.
GUGAAAACGCCCUCAACCCCUCAAUUAAGGAAGAGGAGCCGGUAUCAGGCACAACUACUUAGCCCACAACACCUAGCCACGCCACGCCCACAAGGGUAUUCAGCAGUGAUAAACAUUGUUUAUAAGCGCCAGCUUGAAUCAGUUAUGGUAAAGAGGGCCGGCAAAUCCGGUGCCAGCCGCCGCGGCUACACCGUCAGGCCCAAGUUGACACACACCGGCGUUAAGCGUGAUUAGAGUGAUUUUAUUGAUUAGAGUUAAACCCCAACUUAGUCGUGAUACACUUGUCCCCGGGAAAUCCAAAAACGAAAGUUACUCUAACCCACCCACUUGAACCCACGACAGCUAGGACACAAACUGGGAUUAGGUACCCCACUAUGCCUAGCCGUAAAACAUAUACUCACCCCACAAAUCGCCAGGGAAUUACGAGCCCAAGCUUAAAACCCAAAGGACUUGACGGUGUCCCACCCACCUAGAGGAGCCUGUUCUAUAAUCGAUUAUCCCCGAUAAACCUCACCACUUCUUGUUAUUCAGCCUGUAUACCUCCGUCGUAAGCUUACCAUGUGAACGAAUUUAGUGAGUCUAAGGGUCCCCCCCACCAAUACGUCAGGUCAAGGUGCAGCUAACGAACUGGGAAGAAAUGGGCUACAAUUUCUACCAUAGAACAAACGAAAGGCUACAUGAAAUAUAGUCACUGAAGGCGGAUUUAGCAGUAAAAAGAAAAUAGAGAGUUCUUUUUAACAAGGCGCUGGGACGCGUACACACCGCCCGUCACCCUCUUCGAAUGCCAAACUGUUGUAAAUAACCACAAAUAGCACCCUAGAAGAGGUAAGUCGUAACACGGUAAGCGUACUGGAAAGUGCGCUUGGAUCAA